UGGAGCAUGUGGUUUAAUUCGAUGCAACGCGAAGAACCUUACUAGGCUUGACAUCCUGGAAUUUUGUGGAAACACAAAAGUGCCUUUCGGGAACCAGGAGACAGGUGCUGCAUGGCUGUCGUCAGCUCGUGUCGUGAGAUGUUGGGUUAAGUCCCGCAACGAGCGCAACCCUUAUCUUUAAUUGCCAGCAUUCAGUUGGGCACUUUAAAGAGACUGCCGGUGUUAAACCGGAGGAAGGUGGGAUGACGUCAAGUCCUCAUGGCCUUUAUGCUUAGGGCUACACACGUGCUACAAUGGGUGGUACAAAGAGAAGCCAACUCGCGAGAGCGCGCCAAUCUCAAAAAGCCAUCCUCAGUUCGGAUUGGAGUCUGCAACUCGACUCCAUGAAGUUGGAAUCGCUAGUAAUCGCGGAUCAGCAUGCCCGCGGUCGAAUACGUUCCCGGGCCUU
RNAcentral lists this ribosomal RNA (448 nucleotides) under uncultured Smithella sp. RNAcentral's name for it is "bacterial SSU rRNA". It matches the Rfam family "Bacterial small subunit ribosomal RNA", at positions 933 to 1382 of the family's 1533-position model. Lineage: Bacteria; Pseudomonadati; Thermodesulfobacteriota; Syntrophia; Syntrophales; Smithellaceae. The record is from RNAcentral.